RNAcentral lists this long non-coding RNA (348 nucleotides) under Ananas comosus (pineapple). RNAcentral's name for it is "long non-coding RNA (ACOM_LNC026048)". Lineage: Eukaryota; Viridiplantae; Streptophyta; Magnoliopsida; Poales; Bromeliaceae. The record is from RNAcentral.
ACGUCGAACAGACGCCGAACGGACAACACCUCUCCUGUCCGCCAAAGACUCAACACAAGUAAUAAUCGUGUAUAUAUAAAUUCUACACAACAGAACAAAGAUAUACAUGGCUUGCACGAGGGCAAGCAAUAGCCAAAGUGAAAGUACUAAACUAAGCAUACAUACAAGUAAUAUGAUUAACUUUCAACCACAUACAUGCAUUCAACUUGUACAUUUACAUUCUUUUCAUCAUUUCUUUUUACAUCACAUGAUCUCCCAAACUUACAUAACAUGUUUUCAUCAUUUAAACAUCUAUAAUCAUCAAGUACAAAAGAUGAUAUAAAGGGGAUGCAACUAAACAAAAUGAAA